Molecule: long non-coding RNA, 575 nt
Filed under: Brachypodium distachyon (stiff brome)
Lineage: Eukaryota; Viridiplantae; Streptophyta; Magnoliopsida; Poales; Poaceae
Description: long non-coding RNA (BDIS_LNC003252)
Source: RNAcentral
UCUGCGUCGAGUGCGUUGCCAAAGGGAAUUGAAGGGUGUGUCGUGCUGGGAUCACUCGCCUCCUCUCUGCUCUCUGCUAUUCGAUGUAUACUUUUUGCAAAGGAAGGAUGGAUCAUGCAGAAAUCAUGGAGAAGGUGAGCAGGACAGGACAUGGUAGGCGUUAGGGUCCUAUCUUUUCUUUUCUUUUCUUUUCUUUCCUUUCUGAGAUCCCCUUUGUCUUGAGAGUUCAGCAUGUAUUUAUCUGAAUUCUAAAUUUGUGUGUGCACAUGUUGGUAAUGUCGAUAUGCAAAGCCUAUUAAAUUUGAAAAAAGAGGGAGCUCAUUUUUCUUUGCUGAAGGAGACUAUUGUUGGUUGGUGCAACAGGAAAAACUCCCUUUCAAGAUCCUUUUUUUUGGGUAGAGUUUUAUGAUUGAAAAUGUAGAUCGGUUAGAGAUGUUAUGCCGAGCCAUGUAGAUUAUUUAAUGAGUAAAUUUUACAAACUACAGUUUUUAAGGCAGUCCGCAGUCAUGUCGCUGAACCCGCAGAACAACACCUUUUGAGUUAAGUUGUCUCAGUUGGUUCGAAACCGAGUGUUU